AUACUCCCUCUGUAACUGACAAGUCAUUUCUCAAGGGUCAGUCAGAACACCUGUUAAUCCAGGUUUCAGGUGAGACCAAAAAAGUGCCUCACACACUUCUGAUUCAUUCUCCUCUGCAUUGAAGCCAUGAAGUGGGUAAAGUUCUUUGCCUAUCUCACCUUCUUUCAUUCAGAAGUAAUAUCAGAUAUCCAGUUGGAACAAGACCAAACCCUGACUGCCCAUGUUGGAAGAACUAUCACCUUACAUUGCACCUUGAAAGGAGGGGACUUGAAAAGCCAUCAAAUGAGCUGGUACAAAAAAAAAAUGACUUUCAUGGAAAUGUAUUUUGCAUGCCUAUACAUGUACAACCUAUGUCAAAGCAGAAAUAAGGAAGAAGAUGAAGAAAGAGAAUCUGGAAGUCAAAUUUUUUUUAAAAAAUUGUUGUUUUAUAUGUAAUUGAGAAAAAUAAAAUAUUAAACAAGGGAA
This 465-nucleotide long non-coding RNA is filed under the name Sarcophilus harrisii (Tasmanian devil). Its description in RNAcentral is "lncRNA (ENSSHAG00000028932.1)". Lineage: Eukaryota; Metazoa; Chordata; Mammalia; Dasyuromorphia; Dasyuridae. The record is from RNAcentral.